CCUACGGGAGGCAGCAGUAGGGAAUCUUUCACAAUGGGCGAAAGCCUGAUGGAGCAACGCCGCGUGCAGGAUGAAGGCCUUCGGGUUGUAAACUGCUUUUAUAAGCGAGAAAUAUGAUGGUAACUUAUGAAUAAGGAUCGGCUAACUACGUGCCAGCAGCCGCGGUAAUACGGAGGAUGCGAGCGUUAUCCGGAUUUAUUGGGUUUAAAGGGUGCGUAGGCGGAAUGCCAAGUCAGCGGUAAAAUCGCGGGGCUCAACCUCGCUCCGCCGUUGAAACUGGCGUUCUUGAGUGGGCGAGAAGUAUGCGGAAUGCGUGGUGUAGCGGUGAAAUGCAUAGAUAUCACGCAGAACUCCGACUGCGAAGGCAGCAUACCGGCGCCCAACUGACGCUGAAGCACGAAAGCGUGGGUAUCGAACAGGAUUAGAUACCCCUGUAGUC
RNAcentral lists this ribosomal RNA (439 nucleotides) under uncultured bacterium. RNAcentral's name for it is "partial 16S ribosomal RNA". It matches the Rfam family "Bacterial small subunit ribosomal RNA", at positions 338 to 795 of the family's 1533-position model. The record is from RNAcentral.